GGGAGGCCGGGAGGGGUCCCUGGGCGGGGAGUUGCUGCGCAUCUGUUGUGUGUGUGCGUCUGUCUGUCUGUUCAGGUCUGUUUCAGACUACGUCUGCCUGUCUGUCCAGGUCUGUUUUAGGCUGUGUCUGUCUGUCUGUCUGGGUCUGUUUCAGGCUGUGUCUGUCUGUCUGUCCGGGUCUGUUUCAGGCUGUGUCUGUCUGUCUGUCCGGGUCUGUUUCAGGCUGUGUCUGUCUGUCUGUCCGGGUCUGUUUCAGGCUGUGUCUGUCUGUCUGUCCGGGUCUGUUUCAGGCUGUGUCUGUCUGUCUGUUUGUCUGGGUCUGUUUCAGGCUGUGUCUGUCUGUCCGGGUCUGUUUCAGGCUGUAUGUGUGUCUGCUCUUUGCUUCUGCUCCUGGCUCUGUGUGUAUUUCCCGGGUCCUGUGG
Molecule: long non-coding RNA, 422 nt
Filed under: Homo sapiens (human)
Lineage: Eukaryota; Metazoa; Chordata; Mammalia; Primates; Hominidae
Description: HSALNT0395723
Source: RNAcentral